RNAcentral lists this ribosomal RNA (386 nucleotides) under uncultured bacterium. RNAcentral describes it as "bacterial SSU rRNA". It matches the Rfam family "Bacterial small subunit ribosomal RNA", at positions 30 to 417 of the family's 1533-position model. The record is from RNAcentral.
AUUGAACGCUGGCGGCAUGCCUUACACAUGCAAGUCGAACGGCAGCACGGGGCAACCUGGUGGCGAGUGGCGAACGGGUGAGUAAUGCAUCGGAACGUGCCAUUGAGUGGGGGAUAACGUAGCGAAAGUUGCGCUAAUACCGCAUAUUCUGUGAGCAGGAAAGCAGGGGACCGCAAGGCCUUGCGCUCUUUGAGCGGCCGAUGUCAGAUUAGCUAGUUGGUGAGGUAACGGCUUACCAAGGCGACGAUCUGUAGCGGGUCUGAGAGGAUGAUCCGCCACACUGGAACUGAGACACGGUCCAGGACUCCUACGGGAGGCAGCAGUGGGGAAUUUUGGACAAUGGGCGCAAGCCUGAUCCAGCCAUGCCGCGUGAGUGAAGAAGGCCU